CAGCCGCCGCGGUAAUACGAAGGGUGCAAGCGUUACUCGGAAUUACUGGGCGUAAAGCGUGCGUAGGUGGUGGUUUAAGUCCGUUGUGAAAGCCCUGGGCUCAACCUGGGAAUUGCAGUGGAUACUGGGUCACUAGAGUGUGGUAGAGGAUAGUGGAAUUUCCGGUGUAGCGGUGAAAUGCGUAGAGAUCGGGAGGAACAUCAGUGGCGAAGGCGGCCAUCUGGGACAACACUGACGCUGAGGCACGAAAGCGUGGGGAGCAAACAGGAUUAGAUACCCGGGUAGUCCCUGUCUCUUAUAC
Molecule: ribosomal RNA, 301 nt
Filed under: uncultured bacterium
Lineage: Bacteria
Description: partial 16S ribosomal RNA
Rfam family: Bacterial small subunit ribosomal RNA
Source: RNAcentral